Molecule: ribosomal RNA, 253 nt
Filed under: uncultured bacterium
Lineage: Bacteria
Description: partial 16S ribosomal RNA
Rfam family: Bacterial small subunit ribosomal RNA
Source: RNAcentral
UACGGAUGGGGCGAGCGUUGUUCGGAAUCAUUGGGCGUAAAGGGCGCGUAGGUGGUUCUGUAUGUCUACCGUGAAAGCGUACGGCUCAACCGUAUUUUGUCGGUAGAAACUGCAGGACUUGAGGCUGGGAGGGGCUGGUGGAAUUCCCUGUGUAGCGGUGAAAUGCGUAGAGAUGGGGGAGAACACUCGUGGCGAAGGCGGCCAGCUAGACCAGUUCUGACACUGAGGCGCGACAGCGUGGGGAGCAAACAGG